Molecule: long non-coding RNA, 667 nt
Filed under: Rattus norvegicus (Norway rat)
Lineage: Eukaryota; Metazoa; Chordata; Mammalia; Rodentia; Muridae
Description: long non-coding RNA NONRATT001794
Source: RNAcentral
CUUGCAUCCGUGAGCUCUUCCGCUUCCUUAUCUCCCUCACAAAUCCACAUGACCGCCAUAACUCUGAGGUUAUGAUCCACAUGGGACUUCAUUUGCUGACAGUAGCUCUUGAGUCAGCCCCUGUGGCCCAGUGCCAGACCCUCUUGGGUCUCAUCAAGGAUGAGAUGUGCCGACACUUAUUCCAGGUAAGACUGGGUUGCCCAGAGAUCUUGGUUGUUUUUUGAGAUUGAGAAGCCACUAGAAUAUGAUUAGCUUCCUUUCAGUUGGCCAGAAGCCACAGUAAAAGUUCCCAUAGCUCUCCAAGGACUUGAAGAAGGAAUGGCUAAAUCAAAACCCAGUCUUGGUACAUAUCUGUAAUCCAGCACUUGGGAGGGAGAGGCAGGAAGAUAAGCAAUCCAAGGUAAUUUUCAGCUAUGUAGUGAACCAGCCUGAGCUACAUGAGCUCCUAUCUCAAACAAACUAACAAACAAACAACAAAAUAACAAAAACAAGCCAACAAGAUGGCUCAGUGGUAAAAGGAUGUACCAUCAAGCCUGAUGUGCUGAAUUGAUCCUAGAAGGUGGAAUGAGAGGAGUGUCUCCUUGGGAUGUACCUUUUCAUGUGUGCCCUGCUCCCCUCCUACACAAAAACAAAUAAAUGGAAAAUAAAGUUUGUUUUUGACAAAAAG